Molecule: ribosomal RNA, 619 nt
Filed under: Aplosporella javeedii
Lineage: Eukaryota; Fungi; Ascomycota; Dothideomycetes; Botryosphaeriales; Aplosporellaceae
Description: eukaryotic LSU rRNA
Rfam family: Eukaryotic large subunit ribosomal RNA
Source: RNAcentral
UGCAUAUCCAAAAAGCGGAGGAAAAGAAACCAACAGGGAUUGCCUCAGUAACGGCGAGUGAAGCGGCAACAGCUCAAAUUUGAAAUCUGGCCCUUUCAGGGUCCGAGUUGUAAUUUGUAGAGGAUGCUUCGGCGAGAGCUCCCGUCUAAGUUCCCUGGAACGGGACGUCAUAGAGGGUGAGAAUCCCGUAUGUGAUGGGUUGCUCGAGCCAUGUGAAGCUCCUUCGACGAGUCGAGUUGUUUGGGAAUGCAGCUCUAAAUGGGAGGUAAAUUUCUUCUAAAGCUAAAUACCGGCCAGAGACCGAUAGCGCACAAGUAGAGUGAUCGAAAGAUGAAAAGCACUUUGGAAAGAGAGUUAAAAAGUACGUGAAAUUGUUGAAAGGGAAGCGCUUGCAACCAGACUUGUCCGCAGUUGUUCAGCCGGUCUCCUGACCGGCGUACUCUUCUGCGGCCAGGCCAGCAUCAGUUCGGGCGGUUGGAUAAAGGCCUCGGGAAUGUGGCUCUCUUCGGGGAGUGUUAUAGCCCGGGGCGGAAUGCAGCCAGCCUGGACUGAGGAUCUCGCUUCGGCAAGGAUGCUGGCGUAAUGGUUGUAAGCGGCCCGUCUUGAACCACGGACCCAA